Molecule: ribosomal RNA, 497 nt
Filed under: uncultured bacterium
Lineage: Bacteria
Description: partial 16S ribosomal RNA
Rfam family: Bacterial small subunit ribosomal RNA
Source: RNAcentral
GAUGAACGCUGGCGGCGUGCCUAAUACAUGCAAGUCGAGCGAACAGACGCGGAGCUUGCUCCUCUGACGUUAGCGGAGGACGGGUGAGUCACAUGUGGAUAACCUACCUAUAAGACUGGGAUAACUACGGGAAACCGGAGCUAAUACCGGAUAAUAUAUUGAACCGCAUUGUUCAAUAGUGAAAGACGGUUUUGCUGUCACUUAUAGAUGGAUACGGGCCGCAUUAGCUAGUUGGUAAGGUAACGGCCUACCAAGGCAACGAUGCGUAGCCGACCUGAGAGAGUGGUCGGCCACACGGGAGCUGAGACGCGGUCCAGACUCCUGCGAGAGGCAGCAGUAGGGAAUCUUCCGCAAUGGGCGAGAGCCUGACGGAGCAGCGCCGCGUGAGUGAUGAAGGUCUUCGGAGCGGAAAACUCUGUUAUGAGGGGAGAACAAAUGUGUAAGUAACUGUGCACGUAGUGACGGUACCGGGUCAGAAAGCCACGGCUAACUACGUG